GGAACGUAGGCGUUCUGCUCAUCACCCUGUGACAUACCUAAAACGUUGCUUCGGCGGGAACAGACGGCCCUGUAACAACGGGCCGCCCCCGCCAGAGGACCCCUAACUCUGUUUUUAUAAUGUUUUUCUGAGUAAACAAGCAAAUAAAUUAAAACUUUCAACAACGGAUCUCUUGGCUCUGGCAUCGAUGAAGAACGCAGCGAAAUGCGAUAAGUAAUGUGAAUUGCAGAAUUCAGUGAAUCAUCGAAUCUUUGAACGCACAUUGCGCCCGCCAGUAUUCUGGCGGGCAUGCCUGUUCGAGCGUCAUUACAACCCUCAGGCCCCCGGGCCUGGCGUUGGGGAUCGGCGGAAGCCCCCUGUGGGCACACGCCGUCCCUCAAAUACAGUGGCGGUCCCGCCGCAGCUUCCAUUGCGUAGUAGCUAACACCUCGCAACUGGAGAGCGGCGCGGCCAUGCCGUAAAACACCCAACUUCUGAAUGUUGACCUCGAAUCAGGUAGGAAUACCCGCUGAGCUUAAGCAUAUCAAUAAGGCGGAGGA
Molecule: ribosomal RNA, 539 nt
Filed under: Fusarium solani
Lineage: Eukaryota; Fungi; Ascomycota; Sordariomycetes; Hypocreales; Nectriaceae
Description: eukaryotic LSU rRNA
Rfam family: 5.8S ribosomal RNA (bases 153-306)
Source: RNAcentral